GGAUUCGUUUUGCUCCUUCCCUUUCCCUCCAAAUGCCUCCACCCAUAUCCCUGCGCCUAUAAAACAAGCCCUGUACCGGAGCACCUCCAUUCGUCACUCUUUUCACUCGAACCGAUCGGAGGAUCGAGAGCCUCCUCUGUUGCUUCUGAAGCUUAAUUAGCUUGUUGUGGAGAUUUAGAGCAGUACUUUGUAACAUUCCAGAGUAUCAAACGGAAGCUUCCAACAAAACUCCAACCGCGGAAAUGCACAACGACACCGCCUCCUCCACCGCCAAUGGCGGCCUCGCCACCUCAUCGCAGUUCAAAUCGCAGCCUCGCUCAGACGACGCCGUGUUCUCUUCCCUCUAUUCCGCCAUCUUCGAUCGCAAGCCGUCCCUCGCUUGAUACAACGAAUCGGAGCCCGACGCGUCCUCUAAUCAUCCCCACCGCCAACUCUACCACUCUCUCCUCGUCCAAGACCACCAGGAGAUGGUCAACCGCUACUGCUACUUCAGGCAAAAGGUGUACGUUCCUGCUGGAGGGAGGAAGGAGCAGGAGCCACUUGAAUUGGAGGUGUACAACCAAGGCAUGUUCAAGACUGAACUCUGCAACAAAUGGCAGGAGACCGGUGAAUGCCCUUACGGAGAACACUGCCAAUUUGCACAUGGGAUUGAGGAGCUCCGCCCGGUGAUUCGACACCCACGCUACAAGACAGAGGUCUGCAGGAUGGUCCUUGCUGGUGUUGCCUGCCCAUAUGGUCACCGAUGUCACUUCCGCCACGCCCUCACUGAGAAUGAGAAGUUCAUGGGUCCAAAUAAGCCCAGGGCAAUGAAGCUGGACAGGUAAAAUAUCAGGUUUCAUAAAUAUGAUGGCGACGGAAGAGUAAUAAGAUCACAACUGAGGUUUGAGUAAACAGGAGAGCCAAGUGUUUAUAUUACAUAUGCCUCCAAUGGGAACGGUAUAUAACACCAAUUAUAUGGUAAGUAUAAAACAAGGACAUGCAUAACAUAACAAUAAUUAGUGUCAUCUAUGCUCUGCGGUGAAAGUGAUCAGGAAAGUGUGCAAGGCUUCGUAGCCCGGAUGGUGGAGAAAAAUGAUGAGGUGUAUUGAGAGAUUUGAGCUCUUGUUUCAUUUUGUAUCUGUUGUUUUGGGGUUCCAUUAAAUAUGACUUUUGAAGCAUCAUUCAUAUAUACAUACAUUAGGAAUUUGGUGAUGUCAAACCGAGCAAC
Prunus avium (sweet cherry) is the source of this 1207-nucleotide non-coding RNA. NCBI's taxonomy places the organism in Eukaryota, Viridiplantae, Streptophyta, Magnoliopsida, Rosales, Rosaceae. The record is from RefSeq and is a predicted model, not a curated record.